Molecule: long non-coding RNA, 507 nt
Organism: Amphimedon queenslandica
Lineage: Eukaryota; Metazoa; Porifera; Demospongiae; Haplosclerida; Niphatidae
Exons: 2
Source: RefSeq, a predicted model, not a curated record
GAGAGUACCGCCCACAUCAAGAAUGUUCCGUCAGUCGCCUGGUUCUGAUUCGUCAGCUGAUGGUCUGACACCAAAUUAUUUUAAAGUAUCUGCUAGUGCUGAUGAUCUAACUUCUGGUGGUGAGGAUCGUAACUCUAUCCAUUCCUUUGGGUCUAAUCACAGUGGGGGAGGAGGAGGGGGUGGGGCUAAGAUUAAUUUUGAAUUAUCGGCAGCUGCUAACACCCAAAGCACCGUUGUCUGAUAAUAAGUACACAAUAAUACCCACUGAUAAUAAUUAAUAAUAAUAAUUAUGACUUGAUAUUGUGAUUAUAAUAUACUCUUUAUCAUUCUUCCUCUCUCUCUCUCUCUCUUUCUUGGAACUACUCGUGUUGUUUGCUUGUCUUAUUGCUUUAAUAACAUUAUUAUUAUUAUUAUUAUUAUUAUUAUUAUUAUUAUUAUUAUUAUUAUUAUUAUUAUUAUUGUUGCAUUUCUCAAGAGGUUAGAUCCACUCAUAGUGAUAUCCAGUGG